GAUGAACGCUGGCGGCGUGCUUAACACAUGCGAGUCGAACGGGAAGGCUCCUGCUUGCAGGGGUACUCGAGUGGCGAACGGGUGAGUAACACGUGGGUGAUCUGCCCUGCACUUCGGGAUAAGCCUGGGAAACUGGGUCUAAUACCGGAUAGGACGAUGGUUUGGAUGCCAUUGUGGAAAGUUUUUCGGUGUGGGAUGAGCUCGCGGCCUAUCAGCUUGUUGGUGGGGUAAUGGCCUACCAAGGCGUCGACGGGUAGCCGGCCUGAGAGGGUGUACGGCCACAUUGGGACUGAGAUACGGCCCAGACUCCUACGGGAGGCAGCAGUGGGGAAUAUUGCACAAUGGGCGCAAGCCUGAUGCAGCGACGCCGCGUGGGGGAUGACGGCCUUCGGGUUGUAAACUCCUUUCGCUAGGGACGAAGCGCAAGUGACGGUACCUGGAGAAGAAGCACUGGCUAACUACGUG
This 465-nucleotide ribosomal RNA is filed under the name uncultured bacterium. Its description in RNAcentral is "partial 16S ribosomal RNA". It matches the Rfam family "Bacterial small subunit ribosomal RNA", at positions 28 to 507 of the family's 1533-position model. The record is from RNAcentral.